GGAAAUAUGGUGAAAAGGAAGACACAAUGGACUUUUAAUCCAUUUAUUUGAGGGUUCGAUUCCCUCUGUUUCCA
RNAcentral lists this transfer RNA (74 nucleotides) under Theileria orientalis. Its description in RNAcentral is "tRNA-Lys". It matches the Rfam family "tRNA". From Rfam's summary of the family: Transfer RNA (tRNA) molecules are approximately 80 nucleotides in length. Lineage: Eukaryota; Apicomplexa; Aconoidasida; Piroplasmida; Theileriidae. The record is from RNAcentral.